AUUGAACGCUGGCGGCAGGCUUAACACAUGCAAGUCGAGCGAGCGGCGGACGGGUGAGUAAUGUCUGGGAACCUGCCUGAUGGAGGGGGAUAACUACUGGAAACGGUAGCUAAUACCGCAUACCAUCAGAUGUGCCCAGAUGGGAUUAGCUAGUAGGUGGGGUAUUGGCUCACCUAGGCGACGAUCCCUAGCUGGUCUGCGAGGAUGACCAGCCACACUGGAACUGAGACACGGUCCAGACGCCUACGGGAGGCAGCAGUGGGGAAUAUUGCACAAGGGGCGAAAGCCUGAUGGAGCCAUGCCGCGUGAGUGAAGAAGGUCUUCGGGUUGUAAAGCACUUUCAGCGGGGAAGCGUUACUCGCAGAAGAAGCACCGGCUAACUCCGUGCCAGCAGCCGCGGUAAUAC
RNAcentral lists this ribosomal RNA (406 nucleotides) under uncultured bacterium. Its description in RNAcentral is "partial 16S ribosomal RNA". It matches the Rfam family "Bacterial small subunit ribosomal RNA", at positions 30 to 526 of the family's 1533-position model. The record is from RNAcentral.